GGGUAGAGACCCGAGCAGUUGAAAAUUGCUUAUUUCAGCAUGAAAGAAACCAUAAUUCGUGACUAUCAAAACCUUGAGUUCAUCCAUUUUCUCCACAAACUCAGGUAAGGUGUAAUUCUUUGUCUGAAAAUUCAGAACUAAAACCUCAACUUUGGGUGCUUGAAUGUUGCACCAA
Long non-coding RNA from Quercus robur (English oak), 175 nucleotides. RefSeq lists it as uncharacterized. The transcript is spliced from 2 exons. Lineage: Eukaryota; Viridiplantae; Streptophyta; Magnoliopsida; Fagales; Fagaceae. The record is from RefSeq and is a predicted model, not a curated record.